GGGGGCUCUAGUCAUAGCUCUGCCAGGUUCAAGGGUGUCAGCCCUGCUCACCCUGGCAGGGUCAGACUGUUUGGAGCCAAUGCACACUGGUCCAGGAUAGACGGGCCGCUCAGUCCACCCAGCAAGAGCCUUGCAUUGCCCCCAGCAAGGGCACAGGACUCCCCAAAGCCGGUGAGACCCCAGAGGAAUUCUGCUAAUUCCUACCACAGUUGUUCUGAGCACUGAGGCCUGGAGCUGCACGGCCAUCUCAGGAGCCCGAGGACGGAGGCUGCCUGGGUGCUCUCUCUUGGCUCCCUGCCUCUGGGAUGUAAAAGCCUCAGCCACAAGGGAAGACCACGGGCAGGCCCGCUGGCCCACGGCCCCUGCCAGGUUUCCAGCUAACAGCAAGUGUGCUCUGCCUGCUGUGUGAGCGUGCCACCCAGGCAGGCAACACACAGAACCAGGAGAGGUAACAUCCAUUGUCUGUCGGGCACUAAGCUGCCAGGUUCCGGGGUGGCUGGUUGGGCUGCAGCAGAUAAGCGGAACAGAGGAGGGAGACGAGGAAGGAUAAACACGACUUUUUUUUUUGGCUGCACCCCAGGUAUGAGGACAUUCCUGGGCCAGGGAUUGAACCCGUGCCACAGCAGGGACCUGGGCCACAGCAGUGACAACACUGGAUCCUUCACCUGCGGCACCACAAGAGAAAUCCAACACUGAGUAGUUGGACUAGAGAAACAGAGAAAGGCAGAGGCAAAAAUGACUUCUCACAGCAAUGGCUGAGACAUGCCAGGCUGGGGCAAUUUGUGCUAUACCCUUGUGUUGUGUGAAGAGUGAUUUUGUUUCAGCAAAAUGGCAUCAACCGUUAUAUUCAACGAGAGCUGUUCAUCUGACUUUGCCUCGUACUUAUGUUUGUAUAUGUUUUCUUUUUGGGGGUGUGUUUUACUAUAGCAUAAGAUCUAUAAUCACAAGGGUUUAUCCUGGGUUUAUGUUUACUGUUUUAUUCUACUUUAUUAUUAUUAUUUUUUGCUGCUUUUAAAAAGCUUAGCGCUCCUUCAAGGCUCAAGACAAACACUCCCUUCUCCAUAAAGUAUUUCCUGCUGUCCUUUCCGAACCAAGGGUGAAUUCUCCCUCACUUGACUUCCAAGGUAUAUCACAUCCUGCGCUGUGCUCUGGUCGUUGGUGUGCAUUCUUCUUCCUCCUAUUCCUUUUUGCCUUUUGAAAGAAGGACGUGUAUUUAAUUCAUUCGUAUUCUCCUCAGCCCUUGUCAGAGUAUCUUACAUAUUUUGGAUGUUUAAUAUUUAGUGAAUGAAUCAAUGAAAGAUUUGAGAAUGAAUUACAUACAUUUUGUAUUAUGUAUACAUACAUAUAUUUGGACAAUAACGCUGAAAAGUAGAAAAGUUCUGCAUAAUCGUGUAAUACAUAUUUGCCUGGUGUUUUAAAUAUAUGUUCCCUCUAAAUCAGGAGUGUAGUUCAGGCUGCUCUCCAGCAGCCCAUUAAAUAUCAUCUCUCUUUUUUUUUUUAUUCUUUUGGGGGAGGCUGCACCCACGGCAUAUGGAGGUUCCCAGACUAGGGGUCGAAUCGGAGCUGUAGCCACCGGCCUACACCACAGCCACAGCAACAUGGGAUCCGAGCCGCGUCUGUGACCUACACCACAGCUCACGGCAACGCCGUGCCCUUAACCCACUGAGCGAGGCCAGGGACUGAACCUGUGUCCUCAUGGAUCCUAGUCGGAUUCGUUUCCACUGCGCCACGACAGGAACUCCGGAAUAUUUUGGGAUUAAAAACACAUGAUGACCUUGAAAAGAAGGAAAGGAGACAGGAGGUCGUAGCACUGGCUGAGGUAAUGGCAGGAAAGCCCAGGACUAGACAGGGAAGCUGCUGAGGAUACAGCAGGGCUGCCGUCCCGGACGAGCUGGGGGUGGGGGAGACGCGUGCUGCAGAGAUAAAACCCCCACUGCCAGUCACGGAACUUUUGAGGAACAUCGACUAAAGAGAGAAAAAAACAACAACACGACCUUGCACCCCACGAGACAAAAGUGAACACAAAAGGAAGAGGACUUUAGAACAAGUGCAUUUCAUAGGGUCAGUACGUGCCAGGUGGAAAUCACAGCCAAUUAGGCUGUUUUGAAAGAAAAACGUAUGAAAAAGAGGACCAAGUGGAAGUCUUUGAAAUGAAAAAAUACCCCUUUAAAAUGUAAAAGUCAAAAAAAAGUAAAAGGCAGUAGCUAGUUUAAAUAAAAGAUUAGACUAGGCUGAAGCGUAAACCUAGAAGAUUUUUGUCCAAGGGUUCUCUUUGACGACAGCAAAAAUAAGGACAGACACUAGUAUAUGGAAGGUAAGAAUCACAGAGGAAAGAUGCAGAAGUUCCAACAUUCCUAAAAUAGGAAUGCCAGAGGGGAGAAUGGAGAGGUAGGAAUUAAAAAAAUACUCAGGAGUUCCCAUCGUGGCGCAGUGGUUAACAAAUCCGACUAGGAACCAUGAGGUUGCAGGUUCGAUCCUUGGCCUUGCUCAUUGAGCUGUGGUGUAGGUUGCAGACACGGCUCGGAUCUGGUGUUGCUGUGGCUCUGGCGUAGGCUGGCGGCUACAGCUCCGAUUCGACCCCUAGCCUGGGAACCUCCAUAUGCCGCGGGAGCGGCCCAAGAAAUGGCAAAAAGACAAAAAAAAAAUACAAUAAAAUAAAGACUCAGAAUGUCCCAGAACACAGAGCUUCCAUAUCAAACAGUCCUCUGAGUCUUGAGAAGAAUAAAAACAAACAGCUCCACCUAGACCUGGGGUAGUUAAGAAUGAAGAGAAAACCCUAAAGCUAUCAGAGAAAACCAGGCAGAUCACUUACAAAGGAAUGAGAACUAGACAGCUUAUCAGCCGCCUGACCUGCAAGAAGAUAACGGAGACGGAGCAUCAGAGUCCUGAGGAAAUCGUCUUUGAUCUUAGAAUCUGAUGCCGCAACCUCCCACUCAACAGAAGUAAAAUGAAAACAUUUUGGGGGCGUUCCCAUUGGGACUCAGCAGUAACGAGCCCGACUAGGACUCAGGAGGAUGGGGGUUCGAUCCCUGGCCUUGCUCAGUGGGUUGAGGAUCUGGCAUGGCUGUGGCUGUGGUGUAGGCCGGCCGCUCCAGCUCCAGUUUGACCCCUAGCCUGGGAACUUCCGCAUGUCACGGGUGUGGCCCUNAAAAAAAAAAAAAAAAAAAAAAAAAAAAAAAAGACAUUUUUGGAACUGCCAAGGCUAAGGCAGUUUAUGACCUCUAAGCCCUCCCUCAGCGAGCAGAGAACAUUCUCCAAGAAAAAGGAAUCUUGGAAGAGAAUGGGUUGCACGAAACCAAUGUGUCCAAAGAAAUUAGCAAAAGGGACCCUGUGCCCUAGGUACUGACCAUGAACUACUGUGGGGGUUUGAGAAUUACAGCUGUGACCAGAGGCACAGGGUCCAAGAGGAAUCGGCAGUUACCCGGUAGGCUUCUAACCACUUAUUUUGCGGCCAUCUGUCCCCAAUGUCCAGCAUUGCGCUUGAUGCAACUUAUUAAAAUUGCUGGCUGCAAGAGUGAAUUCAUGGACCGAUGACUGGUCCUGUCAGCGUGUGGCCUUUUCCAGAAUAUCAGCAUUUUCACAGAGCGAGAUUCACCGCCCCC
RNAcentral lists this long non-coding RNA (3602 nucleotides) under Sus scrofa (pig). Its description in RNAcentral is "lncRNA (ENSSSCG00050077644.1)". The record is from RNAcentral. Lineage: Eukaryota; Metazoa; Chordata; Mammalia; Artiodactyla; Suidae.